Molecule: transfer RNA, 73 nt
Organism: Catenulispora acidiphila DSM 44928
Lineage: Bacteria; Bacillati; Actinomycetota; Actinomycetes; Catenulisporales; Catenulisporaceae
Rfam family: tRNA
About the family: Transfer RNA (tRNA) molecules are approximately 80 nucleotides in length.
Source: Rfam
GGGGCUGUACCCCAAUGGUAGAGGGACAGGUUUUAGGUACCUGCAAGUGCGAGUUCGAGUCUCGUCAGCCCCA